This 431-nucleotide ribosomal RNA is filed under the name uncultured bacterium. RNAcentral describes it as "partial 16S ribosomal RNA". It matches the Rfam family "Bacterial small subunit ribosomal RNA", at positions 29 to 507 of the family's 1533-position model. The record is from RNAcentral.
AACGAACGCUGGCGGCAGGCUUAACACAUGCAAGUCGAGCGCACCGCAAGGUGAGCGGCCGACGGGUGAGUAACGCGUGGGAAUCUACCCAACCCUACGGAAUAACCCAGGGAAACUUGGACUAAUACCGUAUACGCCCUUUUGGGGAAAGAUUUAUCGGGGAUGGAUGAGCCCGCGUUGGAUUAGCUAGUUGGUGGGGUAAAGGCCUACCAAGGCGACGAUCCAUAGCUGGUCUGAGAGGAUGAUCAGCCACAUUGGGACUGAGACACGGCCCAAACUCCUACGGGAGGCAGCAGUGGGGAAUAUUGGACAAUGGGCGCAAGCCUGAUCCAGCCAUGCCGCGUGAGUGAUGAAGGCCUUAGGGUUGUAAAGCUCUUUCAGGAGGGAAGAUAAUGACGGUACCUACAGAAGAAGCCCCGGCUAACUUCGUG